CUUUCAUUAGUUUGAGAACACCCUUGGGGGUAGCUCCUGUAACAGUGAUAGAAUGAUUUAUGUAAGUGGCAUGCAAUUGAUUUUAUGUCAGAUAAAGUUUGAAGCACUGAAACAAGAAGGUAAAAGUACUUUCACUGCCACCAAGCUUGUUAACUGCUUCCACAAAGGUCUCAUGAAGUUCUGGGGUCCAACGCAUGCGUUGCUUUCCUGGAGCAGCAUUUGAGGAUGAUUGAGCUCCACUUGUGCAAAUUUCUCCAGAUGUACUUGGGAGUUGUUGGGGUAUAUGAGGCUGCUGGUUGGAGAUACUAGGGCAUUGCUGCGAAUGCUGAUACAAACAAGAUAUUAGAAGACUCAUAUUAGUAUAUAAGAAUUAUUCACCGACUCUACUGAAGGAGGAUUGAACAUAAGCAUUGCAGAAACUCAAGCUCAGAAAAGUAAACUCUACCUUUGGUUCUGGAUCUGCGACACUUGCAUCAGCAAGCAGUCCACUCCAAUCAGCAGUUAAAGCAUCAUUAUCAGUAAUAAGCUGAUCAGCCCAAUCUUGCCAAUCAUUGGGUUUACCUAGAUCCUCAUGCGGAAUGGUGAUGCCACUACUCUUACUUCCAUACAACUGACUACUCUGGAUCGCCGUACUCAUUGGAAAAUCAAGAAAAUCAGGCAAUGUAUCCGUGCACCAAGACUCAUUGUUUUCUUUGUUGAAAUGACUUGAUGCAGUGGAUUGAAGAAGUUGAGAAUCAACAGAAUGUGGUAAUGUAACUGAUUUUCUGCUACUUGUUGAUUGAGAAAUGAAAGGAUUUUGCCUUGGAGGAUUUUCUUGUUGCUGUUGGAUGGAUGAAAAAUGGAGAUCAGUAGAAAUUCCUGAUGAAGAAGAAAAUAUAUGCCCAACAACCCCACUGUUGGAGGACAAUGAUGAAACAACAGCUGGAGGACGCUGCAUGAGUUCCCUCUCUAAGGAAACCUGCUGCGAUUCAGAAAAUCUUGGAUAUGUCUCUUCCAGGACAGUUGGAGGAACAUUAAAUGAAGCAGAUAGAGAUGCCGAGGCCCCGAUGCUACUAAUUUGUCUUGGGCCUGAUCNAUUAUAAUUAAAAUGUUAAUUUUUUCUUUUAUUGUAUUUUAUUUAAGAGUGGAUUUUUAAAAUGGCCACUUUGAAAUAGUAAACUUAAAAAUUGUCCACUAAAAUAAAAACAUAAAAAAAUGGCCACUGUUACCAAAAUAUCCUUCCACAUUAAAAAUUAAAAAAAUGGCCACUUUACAAUCACCCCUUUAAAAAAUCCCGCAAUUACACAACCAGUGUGAAAUUCACAACCAAAAUUUUUUGGUUGUAGAAUUCACACUGGUUGUGAAAUUGAGAAUUCACAACCAGUCGAAUUCACAACCAGAAUUUUUUGUUUGUGAAUUCACAACUAGUCGAAUUCACAGCAAAAAUUUAAUUCACAAUAAGUCGAAUUCACAACUAGAAUUAAAUUUUGGUUGUGAAUUCACAUGUUGUGAAUUCACAACCAAAAUUUAAUUCACAACCAGAUUUAUGUUGGUUGUGAAUUCACAAUCAGUCGAAUUCACAACCUGAAUUUAAUUCACAACUAGAAUUUAUUUUGGUUGUUAAUUCAAGUAGUUGUGAAUUUGAGUUUUUAAAGUUUGAAUUCACAAUUAAAACUGUAAUUUAUUUGAUUGUGAAUUUAUAGAUUUGGUUGUAAAUUCAAGAAUAUUAAAUUGUGAAUUCAUCGAGCUAGUUGUGAAUUCAAGAACAUUGUUGUAAUUCUGUGAAUUCUUAAAUCUAGUUGUGAAUUCAUAAAUGUAUUCUUAAAUCUAGUUGUGAAUUCAUAAAUGUGGUCGUGAAUUCAAGAACAUUAAAUUGUGAAUUCAUAAAUUUGGUUGUGAAUUUAAGAUCAUUAAAAAAAUUAUUUGUGUCCUAUACACGAAUAAGAUUAUUCAUCUCAGAAAAAAAAACGGAAAUCCAAUAGUCCAAAUAUAAUUCAUAAUCAAUGUCGAGCUUGUCCAUUCCACCAAACUAGAUGGUUGCAAGUUGGAUGAGAUUUCGUAAAUGCUAAAUCUCCCCUUGUCGAAACAAAGGAGUUUCUUCAAUAGAUAGCAAUACUAAGCUGAAAAUUUACAGCCAGUAAAACUCAACUAAAUAUACUGGUGGAAAAUCAACGAAUUCGUAUACAUAAUUGAUCUAAUCCAAAAAUUAUAAUCGAACGUUCCUGAUUUGGGGAUAUUCUCAAGCCCUAGCGGCGAUGGGCGGCUGAGGAGCGGGAGCGCCGCCGGCGAGGAAGGAGAGGAGGCUGGGAACCCUAGCCAGUGGCUCCGCCUCGUCGAGGAAGAGAUCUUCCGGAACCCUAAAAGCACCGUGCGCGAAGACAAUGGCGAGGCCGACCAUGAGCGCCGACACAAGCACGCCGAAUCUGGCCUCGCCGCUCCCUCUCUGGAGCACGAUCGCCAUCGAUUUCAUACAGUCGGAGCUCAUCAACAGCUGCAGGAUCUGCUCGUCGUCGUCGGAGACCGGGAUCUGACGCAGCACCGCCACCGCCUCCUCGCAAGCCCUAAACGCCGCGAAAUCGGAGUUUCCCCCAAAACCUGCUCCAUUAUCCUCACCAGCACCGCGACUCCGCCCAAUCGCUUGAAAUCCUCCUUCACCUCGUCCCCCAAUCCCACGAUCGACCCCAGCCUCCGCAGGCAGCUCACCUUGAACGGCGUCGAGUCCAUCGCACCGAGCGCGGCGGCCAGUUCGUCGCGCUUGGCCGAAGCCGGCGGAGGAGGAGGAGCGACGGUGCAGGACCUUCCUGCGCGGCUGAGCGAGCGGCCAUUGAGUGGGGGCGGAGCAGCGCGGCGGACGGGCGGCGAGGACGAGAGAGAGAGAGAGAGGAGGAGAGAACAGCGAGAGAGAGAGAGAAGAAACGUAGAGAGAGAGUGAGGAGAGAGAGACAGUAAAAAAUUAUGAAUGUGUGGGGAAUGAAUUUGUGGCUAAUUUUUUAAUUUUUAUUGUAGGGGUAAUUUUGUACUUUUACACAAAAAAUGGCCAAAUUUUAAAGUUUUUAUUUGACUGGCCAAUUUUUAAGUUUACUAUAUGAAAGUGGCCAAUUUCAUAUAUUAACUCAAAAUUUAAAGUCCGCAAAAUUUACUAAAACAUAAAAUUCAGUGAUUUUUACGGCUUUAACCCUAAAACAUAAACAAUUUUUUUCACCUGUUAUUUCCACAUAUCCCUUAUGUUAUGUCCAUCAAUUGGUUGAUGUGGAUAAAAACCAACAUAUAUCAUCAGGGGCAUAUGUAGAAAUAAAAGAUUAGUUCUUUCUUUGUGGGAUGGACAGCAAUAUCACACAGGUCUAUCUUUGGAAAUAACUUUCUUUUGCAACAUGUUUUCACUAUCCUAUAUUGAUGGUAAUAUCAAGAUUAUGUUCCCAGCAGAGGCAUCCACUUUUUUUUCACAUGCAUCAGAACAGUAAACCACUAGAUCAAUCAGUAAAUGACUUUAUUGGAAUCAGAAGAGACCCUAUACAUCUCAACUCUCAACGACUGGCUAACAAAACCAAUUUAGUAUAUCUUUGAUGUUGAGAACACCUACUCGAAGAAUAAAAUUCAUACCUCAAGUUGUUCGUGGAGUCGCUUUUGGACUUCCAUCUGUAAUCUCAGUGCUUCAGUGAUCUCAAUACCCCUGUUUUAAAAACCAAGAUGCAUUAUGAUUAGCAACAAAAACAUAUGGCAUAGAAAGCCGCUAAAAACAAGACAAAAUUAUCAACCUCUGCAUUUUCUUUCAAGAUUUCAGACAAGAUGGACUUAUAGACUUAAGUAGACCCACUACAAUUUAACUUCAGAAAGUAGACCUUAUACAAGCAUUGAUUUUAACAACUCACGUUUUUAAGUCCAGGGAUGACAAAUCUUCAAUGGAGGCAGAUUUCCUCUCGGAAGACUCUGCAAAAAAGAACAAAAAACACAGUAUUUUCUUAGGCCAUGAUAUGCACAUUAACUUAAUACACAGAAAAAAGAGUAGAAUAUAUUUUUGGAGGAUAUUACUAGAUAAAACAGGAUUACUAUAAGUAACGCGAACUUAAGAGCCUAAAGAAAUUAGAGUAUGAACCUUUUUUGUUUAUUUGGAUAUAACUUUGUUUCAAGAACAAAGACAAUAAUUGUUGAUACUGAAAGUUUUGAUAAUGGUAGUAGGAAAAAAAAUAGACUACCAGGGAAAAAAUAAGCUACUGAACAAAAAAGCAAAGUGCAUUUUACAAUAAACAACGGACAAUGGCUUCAAUUGCAAAUGGCAUCUAGGAUAUCCCAAUGACAUCAAACAAAAAAGAUUGACAGAGGAUCAAGAAAAUUGAACAGUUCCAUUACUCUAGGUGAUAGAGAACAGGCAGAUAAUUUCUACUAUAGUGAAGCGAUGGAAAUAUUCUAAUAAAUAAGCUAAAGAACAAUUAAUUGAACAACCUAAUCAUUUGAAUACCAAGAGCAAUGGGAUAUGCUCCCACAACUAUGGAACCACUGCAAAGAAUUUUGAAUGGAAGAAAAUUGGACACUCUUAUGUCUUGAAAAGAAGCAGACAUCAUAUAGCUUGGUUGUGAAUUAUUUUACAGUUAAUAAAGGGAAACAUGGCAAAAACAUGGGAAUAGUGGUAUAUGUAACAAAAAAGUAGGGGGAAUCUUAUGCACACCUUCUAUUGUCUCAGGUUUGUAUCUAGCUGUUCGGUACUUCUGCAAUUUAGGAACCAGAUUUAAGAAGAGUGAGAAGCCACUAUGUAUGCAGCUUUUGAGAUUGGCCAUUACUACAGAAUACAUACCUGUAGAUGGCUUUUCACAUGAUAGAUGGUCAAACCUUCAACUUUCAUUAGUUUGAGAACACCCUUGGGGGUAGCUCCUGUAACAGUGAUAGAAUGAUUUAUGUAAGUGGCAUGCAAUUGAUUUUAUGUCAGAUAAAGUUUGAAGCACUGAAACAAGAAGGUAAAAGUACUUUCACUGCCACCAAGCUUGUUAACUGCUUCCACAAAGGUCUCAUGAAGUUCUGGGGUCCAACGCAUGCGUUGCUUUCCUGGAGCAGCAUUUGAGGAUGAUUGAGCUCCACUUGUGCAAAUUUCUCCAGAUGUACUUGGGAGUUGUUGGGGUAUAUGAGGCUGCUGGUUGGAGAUACUAGGGCAUUGCUGCGAAUGCU
This 5136-nucleotide long non-coding RNA is filed under the name Salvia miltiorrhiza (redroot sage). RNAcentral's name for it is "long non-coding RNA (SMIL_LNC005329)". The record is from RNAcentral. Lineage: Eukaryota; Viridiplantae; Streptophyta; Magnoliopsida; Lamiales; Lamiaceae.